ACUGAUGGAUGGUAUGGAAAAUAGAGAACCCAGAACUGAGCUGAUCCUUAUGUGCCCUGUGGUGUUUGAAGGAGAAAGGCAAUGCUGACCACUACAGAUGUACUGGAGGUCAGCUGGAUGGAGUGGAGACUGGGCAGGAGCUCUGCCUCACAAAGGAUUCCUCCUGUCAGGAGCACUUUCCUGUGAGACCAGAGGCAGCACACUGGGGGAGAAGAACAUUGUCUUGUUUGCUGAAAGUCCUUUAGUCCUGAUCAGAACCCCAGAAACAGGACAAAUUGAAGAUCCAUUUCAUCUCAUCACCAGAGGCAGAUUUUGAUCACCUUGAUGUUUCCAGAGUCUGAUCUUUGCGUAUUGUCUGACCUGGGCAGUGCAUUCUGGGGCUCGGGCGAGGGUUGGAAUAAUCUCUUCAGUUGCACUUGAAAAAAACCCAGCAUUUCAUUUUUCCAUGGACCUCAUUGAUUUGCAGUAGUUGCUUAAGAAAGAAUUUAUGAAUGUAAAGCAGAAGCCUGUCUCUCUGAGCCUCACAAUGUGUUAGCUUUGCUACCUUCAACAGGAAAAAGACUGUGUGGUUUGCUGUGGAAUUUUGGAGAAUCGGAAGCUAAAUGGAGCCUAAAAUUCAUUACACCAAAACGGAGGUUAGACAGCAGGUGGAACUACUGAGAGUGGUGAUGAGAAACGUCUGAUAUCAGUUCUCUCAGAGGAUGCUUGUUUGAACAGAGGUACUUAUCAACAUUGACAGGGCCCCUCUGAGAGAGGGGAUGAGGAGCAGCUUCUUGCAGUGUGUAAAGAGCUGGCAGAGUAAUUAUUGAAGGUUCAAGGUAUUUCUGAAAACUAACCUUUGGUAUUUGGCUUGAAAUGCAGUUGGCAAAGAGCCCAAAGGAUUAAGUUCUCAGCAAUGCUGCUCCUGCUGCACACUAAUACUAAUUAGUCUCUAAAUGAAUGAACCUGGUGACUGAACUUGCAGCCCUAUAAGCAGAGGUCUGGACAUCCUUGGACAUCCUUGUGCCCCUCUGCUGCCCAGAGCCCACUGAAUAAUCUAUUCUCUUAGUCAUUGGUUUUAGUCACUCCAACAGGAGUGACUAAUCCAACUAGGAAAUAACAAGGCAUCUUCAAAGAGAAGAGAAAUGUACUAACCAUGAAAAUGACAACAUGGGGGUGGAAAUUCAAGUGAAUGACAUGUGGUUUUAAAAUCCUUGAAGAUGAUACAGUGAUGAUACAAGGACAGCUCCUCAGGACAACAGAACCAGGGAGGUUUUGGGUUUUCCAUGUCUGUAUCCAGAACCACAGCAGAGAAUCACUGCAGCCCACUGCAUUCAGCUUAUUGCACCACAGCUGAUUCCAUUUUCAAAAAUUCAGCUUUGGCUCUUGAAAAACUUGGACUUCUGGAUGUCUGAAGACCUGCAUGGUAUGUACCUGCAGAUACGAAGUUUAAGAAGUGGGAACUGGAGCAGCUGAAACACCAGGGAUACAACUUUACAGUGACUGGGAAAAAUGUCAAGCUUUGAAAGAGCAUUUGUUGUGUCUAUGAGAGAGAACUCCAUCAAACUCAGGCCUUGGAGAGUGCUGCUGUGGAUGGCAAUGAGUGUGACUCAUCUGGCUAUAGAGCUGGAAGUGUAAUAUUAAAGAAAAUAAAUAACAAGGCUGCAAAGAGCAGUAAAUGAGGAAAUGAGGCAUGGAUGUGUGAGACAGAGGUUGGUCUGCUGCAUCAAGCCAAGACCUUCUGAGCACCCUUGACUCGAUCUCUCUUCUCAGAAAAGUGUGAUUCAGCAGCAGAAAAUGUUACAGAAAGAAAGGGUCAGAUGUUGUUCCAGCCACAACAAAUUAUUCAGAGCACAGAAAACCCCCCAAAAAUAAAUGCCCCCCAGUUCUGGUGGGCAUCCCUUUGAAUGGGAUCAGCAACAAUAGCUGGGAAACUUAAAUU
This is a non-coding RNA of Zonotrichia albicollis (white-throated sparrow), 1921 nucleotides long. The record is from RefSeq and is a predicted model, not a curated record. Lineage: Eukaryota; Metazoa; Chordata; Aves; Passeriformes; Passerellidae.